GAGGCUAACAAAGGACGUCAGAAC
This 24-nucleotide non-coding RNA is filed under the name Cricetulus griseus (Chinese hamster). Lineage: Eukaryota; Metazoa; Chordata; Mammalia; Rodentia; Cricetidae. The record is from RNAcentral.